GUGCCAGCAGCCGCGGUAAUACAGAGGUGGCAAGCGUUGUUCGGAAUUACUGGGCGUAAAGGGCGCGUAGGCGGCUUUUCAAGUCCCGUGUGAAAUCCCUCGGCUCAACUGAGGAAUUGCACGGGAAACUGUCUGGCUUGAGUUCGGGAGAGGGAAGCGGAAUUCCGGGUGUAGCGGUGAAAUGCGUAGAUAUCCGGAGGAACACCGGUGGCGAAGGCGGCUUCCUGGACCGAUACUGACGCUGAGGCGCGAAAGCUAGGGGAGCAAACGGGAUUAGAUACCCUCGUAGUCC
Molecule: ribosomal RNA, 292 nt
Filed under: uncultured bacterium
Lineage: Bacteria
Description: partial 16S ribosomal RNA
Rfam family: Bacterial small subunit ribosomal RNA
Source: RNAcentral